CGGCACGGAAUCCACCACGCCGCCGGCGACCGCCUCGUCGCCGAGGUGGUCGCCGCCGGCCAGUGAGCCGACGAUUGUGGUCUCGCCGUACUUGCUCGUGCCGACCUUGGCGACCUUGCCGUGUCCGACCACCAGGAUCUCGGUCACCGGCUGCCCGGCCUCGGCCAGCUGCUCGCCGGCGGCGAAGCGGCGCGGGGUGAAGCGGCCGGCGAGCUCGGUCAGCAGCGCCUCGUCGUCCAGGCCGCGCAGGAUCGGCAGUUCGGUCAGUGUCGGUGCCAGGACCCUGAUGUCCUCGCCCGACUGGUCGAAGGCGAUCCGGCCGCGUCCCACCGCGUGCGUCAGACGCCGGUUCACCCGGUAGGUGCCGCCGGAGACCUGCACGAAGGGGAGUUUGCGGAGCAGCCACCGGGAGGUGAUGCCCUGCAUCUGCGGAACGGUCUUGGUGGUCGUCGCCAGGUUGCGCGCGGCGGCCGUGCUGAGGCUGAGCUGGCUGUCCG
This 497-nucleotide antisense RNA is filed under the name Catenulispora acidiphila DSM 44928. RNAcentral describes it as "Saccharopolyspora sRNA 350". It matches the Rfam family "Saccharopolyspora sRNA 350". Lineage: Bacteria; Bacillati; Actinomycetota; Actinomycetes; Catenulisporales; Catenulisporaceae. The record is from Rfam by way of RNAcentral.